UACGGGAGGCAGCAGUGGGGAAUAUUGCACAAUGGGCGCAAGCCUGAUGCAGCCAUGCCGCGUGUAUGAAGAAGGCCUUCGGGUUGUAAAGUACUUUCAGUCGUGAGGAAGGUGUUAAGGUUAAUAACCUUAGCAAUUGACGUUAGCGACAGAAGAAGCACCGGCUAACUCCGUGCCAGCAGCCGCGGUAAUACGGAGGGUGCGAGCGUUAAUCGGAAUUACUGGGCGUAAAGGGCACGCAGGCGGUUAAUUAAGUUGGAUGUGAAAUCCCCGGGCUUAACCUGGGAAUGGCAUUCAAGACUGGUUGGCUAGAGUCUUGUAGAGGGGGUAGAAUUCCAUGUGUAGCGGUGAAAUGCGUAGAGAUGUGGAGGAAUACCGGUGGCGAAGGCGGCCCCUGGACAAAGACUGACGCUCAUGUGCGAAAGCGUGGGGAGCAAAC
RNAcentral lists this ribosomal RNA (439 nucleotides) under uncultured bacterium. Its description in RNAcentral is "bacterial SSU rRNA". It matches the Rfam family "Bacterial small subunit ribosomal RNA", at positions 340 to 773 of the family's 1533-position model. The record is from RNAcentral.